RNAcentral lists this ribosomal RNA (468 nucleotides) under uncultured bacterium. RNAcentral describes it as "partial 16S ribosomal RNA". It matches the Rfam family "Bacterial small subunit ribosomal RNA", at positions 28 to 507 of the family's 1533-position model. The record is from RNAcentral.
GACGAACGCUGGCGGCGUGCUUAACACAUGCAAGUCGAACGGAAAGGCCCUGCUUUUGUGGGGUGCUCGAGUGGCGAACGGGUGAGUAACACGUGAGUAACCUGCCCUUGACUUUGGGAUAACUUCAGGAAACUGGGGCUAAUACCGGAUAGGAGCUCCUGCUGCAUGGUGGGGGUUGGAAAGUUUCGGCGGUUGGGGAUGGACUCGCGGCUUAUCAGCUUGUUGGUGGGGUAGUGGCUUACCAAGGCUUUGACGGGUAGCCGGCCUGAGAGGGUGACCGGCCAAAUUGGGACUGGGAUUCGGCCCAGACCCCUACGGGAGGCAGCAGUGGGGAAUAUUGCACAAUGGGCGGAAGCCUGAUGCAGCAACGCCGCGUGCGGGAUGACGGCCUUCGGGUUGUAAACCGCUUUCGCCUGUUACGAAGCGUGAGUGACGGUAAUGGGUAAAGAAGCACCGGCUAACUACGUG